GUCGUACGCUUCUUUUUCACCGGAGCUUGCUCCACCGGAAAAAGAAGAGUGGCGAACGGGUGAGUAACACGUGGGUAACCUGCCCAUCAGAAGGGGAUAACACUUGGAAACAGGUGCUAAUACCGUAUAACAAUCGAAACCGCAUGGUUUUGAUUUGAAAGGCGCUUUCGGGUGUCGCUGAUGGAUGGACCCGCGGUGCAUUAGCUAGUUGGUGAGGUAACGGCUCACCAAGGCCACGAUGCAUAGCCGACCUGAGAGGGUGAUCGGCCACAUUGGGACUGAGACACGGCCCAAACUCCUACGGGAGGCAGCAGUAGGGAAUCUUCGGCAAUGGACGAAAGUCUGACCGAGCAACGCCGCGUGAGUGAAGAAGGUUUUCGGAUCGUAAAACUCUGUUGUUAGAGAAGAACAAGGAUGAGAGUAACUGUUCAUCCCUUGACGGUAUCUAACCAGAAAGCCACGGCUAACUACGUGCCAGCAGCCGCGGUAAUACGUAGGUGGCAAGCGUUGUCCGGAUUUAUUGGGCGUAAAGCGAGCGCAGGCGGUUUCUUAAGUCUGAUGUGAAAGCCCCCGGCUCAACCGGGGAGGGUCAUUGGAAACUGGGAGACUUGAGUGCAGAAGAGGAGAGUGGAAUUCCAUGUGUAGCGGUGAAAUGCGUAGAUAUAUGGAGGAACACCAGUGGCGAAGGCGGCUCUCUGGUCUGUAACUGACGCUGAGGCUCGAAAGCGUGGGGAGCAAACAGGAUUAGAUACCCUGGUAGUCCACGCCGUAAACGAUGAGUGCUAAGUGUUGGAGGGUUUCCGCCCUUCAGUGCUGCAGCUAACGCAUUAAGCACUCCGCCUGGGGAGUACGACCGCAAGGUUGAAACUCAAAGGAAUUGACGGGGGCCCGCACAAGCGGUGGAGCAUGUGGUUUAAUUCGAAGCAACGCGAAGAACCUUACCAGGUCUUGACAUCCUUUGACCACUCUAGAGAUAGAGCUUCCCCUUCGGGGGCAAAGUGACAGGUGGUGCAUGGUUGUCGUCAGCUCGUGUCGUGAGAUGUUGGGUUAAGUCCCGCAACGAGCGCAACCCUUAUUGUUAGUUGCCAUCAUUCAGUUGGGCACUCUAGCAAGACUGCCGGUGACAAACCGGAGGAAGGUGGGGAUGACGUCAAAUCAUCAUGCCCCUUAUGACCUGGGCUACACACGUGCUACAAUGGGAAGUACAACGAGUCGCGAAGUCGCGAGGCUAAGCUAAUCUCUUAAAGCUUCUCUCAGUUCGGAUUGUAGGCUGCAACUCGCCUACAUGAAGCCGGAAUCGCUAGUAAUCGCGGAUCAGCACGCCGCGGUGAAUACGUUCCCGGGCCUUGUACACACCGCCCGUCACACCACGAGAGUUUGUAACACCCGAAGUCGGUGAG
This 1400-nucleotide ribosomal RNA is filed under the name Enterococcus durans. Its description in RNAcentral is "bacterial SSU rRNA". It matches the Rfam family "Bacterial small subunit ribosomal RNA", at positions 61 to 1434 of the family's 1533-position model. Lineage: Bacteria; Bacillati; Bacillota; Bacilli; Lactobacillales; Enterococcaceae. The record is from RNAcentral.